UCGCACUAGUCGGGGAGAUAGCGGUGCCCUGUACCUGCAAUCCGCUAUAGCAGGGAUGAAUUCCCACACCCGGGCAAGUUUUGAGUAUCGUCUGGACCAUGUAAGCGGUGUUGAGGGACCGGUCUUGCGCAACGGGAUCCCGUGAACCAUGUCAGGUGGGGAACCAAGCAGCAUUAAGCGGAUCUUCCCGUGUGCCGCGGGGUUGCCGUUCCGGAGCUGGCUGCAUGGAUACCGGAUAUUCAGCUUUCUCAAAUGUGGGUGUGCGA
RNAcentral lists this signal recognition particle RNA (266 nucleotides) under Oscillospiraceae bacterium. Its description in RNAcentral is "signal recognition particle sRNA large type". It matches the Rfam family "Bacterial large signal recognition particle RNA". From Rfam's summary of the family: The signal recognition particle (SRP) is a universally conserved ribonucleoprotein involved in the co-translational targeting of proteins to membranes. Archaeal SRP consists of a 7S RNA and homologues of the eukaryotic SRP19 and SRP54 proteins. Lineage: Bacteria; Bacillati; Bacillota; Clostridia; Eubacteriales; Oscillospiraceae. The record is from RNAcentral.